ACGAACGCUGGUGGCGUGCUUAACACAUGCAAGUCGAACGGUGAAGCUCCAGCUUGCUGGAGUGGAUCAGUGGCGAACGGGUGAGUAACACGUGAGCAACCUGCCCCUGACUCUGGAAUAAGCGCUGGAAACGGCGUCUAAUACUGGAUACGAGAAGGGUCCGCAUGGGCACUUUCUGGAAAGUUUUUCGGUUGGGGAUGGGCUCGCGGCCUAUCAGCUUGUUGGUGAGGUAAUGGCUCACCAAGGCGACGACGGGUAGCCGGCCUGAGAGGGCGACCGGCCACACUGGGACUGAGACACGGCCCAGACUCCUACGGGAGGCAGCAGUGGGGAAUAUUGCACAAUGGGCGAAAGCCUGAUGCAGCGACGCCGCGUGAGGGAUGACGGCCUUCGGGUUGUAAACCUCUUUCAGCAGGGAAGAAGCGAAAGUGACGGUACCUGCAGAAGAAGCACCGGCUAACUACGUG
This 467-nucleotide ribosomal RNA is filed under the name uncultured bacterium. RNAcentral describes it as "partial 16S ribosomal RNA". It matches the Rfam family "Bacterial small subunit ribosomal RNA", at positions 29 to 507 of the family's 1533-position model. The record is from RNAcentral.